This 457-nucleotide ribosomal RNA is filed under the name uncultured bacterium. RNAcentral describes it as "bacterial SSU rRNA". It matches the Rfam family "Bacterial small subunit ribosomal RNA", at positions 329 to 802 of the family's 1533-position model. The record is from RNAcentral.
UUUAAGCUUCCUACGGGAGGCUGCAGUGGGGAAUCUUGCGCAAUGUUGUGAAAGCCUGACGCAGCCAUGCCGCGUGAAUGAUGAAGGUCUUAGGAUUGUAAAAUUCUUUCACCGGGGACGAUAAUGACGGUACCCGGAGAAGAAGCCCCGGCUAACUUCGUGCCAGCAGCCGCGGUAAUACGAAGGGGGCUAGCGUUGCUCGGAAUUACUGGGCGUAAAGGGAGCGUAGGCGGACAUUUAAGUCAGGGGUGAAAUCCCGGGGCUCAACCUCGGAAUUGCCUUUGAUACUGGGUGUCUUGAGUAUGAGAGAGGUGUGUGGAACUCCGAGUGUAGAGGUGAAAUUCGUAGAUAUUCGGAAGAACACCAGUGGCGAAGGCGACACACUGGCUCAUUACUGACGCUGAGGCUCGAAAGCGUGGGGAGCAAACAGGAUUAGAUACCCUUGUAGUCGAAUUCU